This 182-nucleotide ribosomal RNA is filed under the name Mycodrosophila n. sp. POG-2002. RNAcentral describes it as "partial 28S ribosomal RNA". Lineage: Eukaryota; Metazoa; Arthropoda; Insecta; Diptera; Drosophilidae. The record is from RNAcentral.
AUCAUUAACGUUAUACGGGCCUGGCACCCUCUAUGGGUAAAUGGCCUCAUUUAAGAAAGGACUUAAAUCGUUAAUUUCUCAUACUAGUAAUAUUGAUGUUCCAUACACUGCAUCUCACAUUUGCCAUAUAGACAAAGUGACUUAGUGCUGAACUGAUUUCUUUUCGCUCGCCGCUACUAAGA